AAGUCGUAACAAGGUCUCCGUAGGUGAACCUGCGGAGGGAUCAUUAACAUCCAACUAUGCAUAUAUAUGUAGUAGGUACUCAUUCGUGGGUACUCAACCAUAUAUAUGUAUAUACACACACUCGUGAACUCUAUACAAUUUUAUACUCUGUGAACUAUAUAUAUUCUCUAUAUACUAUAUAACAAUCUCAAUCACUCCACGCAAUGGAUAUCUUGGUUCUCGUGUCGA
Molecule: unclassified non-coding RNA, 228 nt
Filed under: fungal sp.
Lineage: Eukaryota; Fungi
Description: partial internal transcribed spacer region
Rfam family: Eukaryotic small subunit ribosomal RNA (bases 1-46)
Source: RNAcentral